GACGAACGCUGGCGGCGUGCUUAACACAUGCCAGUCGAACGGAAAGGCCCUGCUUUUGUGGGGUGCUCGAGUGGCGAACGGGUGAGUAACACGUGAGUAACCUGCCCUUGACUUUGGGAUAACUUCAGGAAACUGGGGCUAAUACCGGAUAGGAGCUCCUGCUGCAUGGUGGGGGUUGGAAAGUUUCGGCGGUUGGGGAUGGACUCGCGGCUUAUCAGCUUGUUGGUGGGGUAGUGGCUUACCAAGGCUUUGACGGGUAGCCGGCCUGAGAGGGUGACCGGCCACAUUGGGAAUGAGAUACGGCCCAGACUCCUACGGGAGGCAGCAGUGGGGAAUAUUGCACAAUGGGCGGAAGCCUGAUGCAGCAACGCCGCGUGCGGGAUGACGGCCUUCGGGUUGUAAACCGCUUUCGCCUGUGACGAAGCGUGAGUGACGGUAAUGGGUAAAGAAGCACCGGCUAACUACGUG
RNAcentral lists this ribosomal RNA (468 nucleotides) under uncultured bacterium. RNAcentral describes it as "partial 16S ribosomal RNA". It matches the Rfam family "Bacterial small subunit ribosomal RNA", at positions 28 to 507 of the family's 1533-position model. The record is from RNAcentral.